Molecule: long non-coding RNA, 305 nt
Filed under: Canis lupus dingo (dingo)
Lineage: Eukaryota; Metazoa; Chordata; Mammalia; Carnivora; Canidae
Description: lncRNA (ENSCAFG00020010714.1)
Source: RNAcentral
UUAAUGUCCCCAGGUUAGUGAUACUUUUCUGAGAAAUCCUUUGAUGUCGCAAGAACAUUUUUCUCCUUCAAAUGCCGUUGCUGCAGAUUUUCAACAAGUAUUAGGAAAGUAUAUGGCCAAAGAAUCUCAAAAACCAAGAAAGAUUCUUAGGAGGAUAUGGUGGAAACACUUCAAAAAGAUCAUAAUCAUCACUGUGGUAAUUCUCCUUUCAAUCAUCAUCAUUCUUUUAAGUACAAAUGUAAUACCAACCUGACCCUUUCUCUCACCAUGCCCAGCAGUUACCAAUAAAUGGUUAUAUGUAAACA